RNAcentral lists this long non-coding RNA (243 nucleotides) under Lathyrus oleraceus (garden pea). RNAcentral's name for it is "Pisum sativum (pea) long non-coding RNA (PSAT_LNC020549)". The record is from RNAcentral. Lineage: Eukaryota; Viridiplantae; Streptophyta; Magnoliopsida; Fabales; Fabaceae.
UUUCAUGUUCAUUUUUUAAUUCUCAUUUAUUUUUCUGUUUUGAUUUUUAAUUCUUUAAAAUAUUUUCUUUAUUCAUAAAAAUCCCUAAAAAUAUUUUCCACAUUCCUUAAUGUUUUAUUUAAUUUAAUUUAUUUUUUAUUUUCGUAUUUAUUUAAUAUUAAUAUUUUAUUUUGAUUAUUUAUUCUAAAUGGUCCAUUUUAACACACUUAUUUUUCUUGAUUUUAUUUUUAUGUCUUAAAGUUA